GGGUGGUUAGCUCAGCGGUAGAGCACCUCGUUUACACCGAGGGGGCCGGGGGUUCGAAACCCUCACCACCCACCA
RNAcentral lists this transfer RNA (75 nucleotides) under Alphaproteobacteria bacterium. Its description in RNAcentral is "tRNA-Val". It matches the Rfam family "tRNA". Rfam says of the family: Transfer RNA (tRNA) molecules are approximately 80 nucleotides in length. Their secondary structure includes four short double-helical elements and three loops (D, anti-codon, and T loops). The record is from RNAcentral. Lineage: Bacteria; Pseudomonadati; Pseudomonadota; Alphaproteobacteria.